This 765-nucleotide ribosomal RNA is filed under the name uncultured Candidatus Poseidoniales archaeon. Its description in RNAcentral is "bacterial SSU rRNA". It matches the Rfam family "Archaeal small subunit ribosomal RNA", at positions 156 to 923 of the family's 1478-position model. The record is from RNAcentral. Lineage: Archaea; Methanobacteriati; Thermoplasmatota; Candidatus Poseidoniia; Candidatus Poseidoniales.
AUAGUCCACUACGCCUGGAACGGUGAGUGGAUCAAAGCUCAGGCGGCAUAGGAUGGGCCUGCGGCGUAUCAGGUUGUAGGGGGUGUAAAGUACCCUCUAGCCAUCUACGCGUACGGGUGUUGGGAGACAUAGCCCGGAGAUGGAUUCUGAGACACGAAUCCAGACCCUACGGGAUGCAGCAGGCGCGAAAACUUGACAAUGCGAGCAAUCGUGAUCAGGGAACUCCAAGUGGCUGGGGUAAGACCCAGUCUUUUCAUAACUCUUCAAAGGUUGUAGAAUAAGGGGUGGGUAAGGACGGUGCCAGCCGCCGCGGUAAUACCGGCGCCUCAAGUGGUAGUCGCUUUUAUUGGGCCUAAAACGUCCGUAGCCGGUUUGGUACAUUCGUGGGUAAAUCAACUCGCUCAACGAGUUGAAUUCUGCGAGGACGGCCAAACUUGGGACCGGGAGAGGUGUGGGGUACUCUCAGGGUAGGGGUAAAAUCCUGUCAUCCUGAGAGGACCACCUGUUGCGAAGGCGCCACACUAGAACGGAUCCGACGGUCAGGGACGAAGCCUAGGGGCACGAACCGGAUUAGAUACCCGGGUAGUCCUAGGUGUAAACGCUGUGGACUUGAUGUUGGAGAAGCUCCGAGCUUCUUCAGUGUCGAAGCGAAGGUGAUAAGUCCACUGCCUGGGAAGUACGGUCGCAAGGCUGAAACUUAAAGGAAUUGGCGGGGGAGCACCGCAACCUGAGGAUUGUGCGGUUUAAUUGGACUCAACGCCGGGA